RNAcentral lists this long non-coding RNA (785 nucleotides) under Olea europaea (common olive). Its description in RNAcentral is "long non-coding RNA (OEUR_LNC004182)". The record is from RNAcentral. Lineage: Eukaryota; Viridiplantae; Streptophyta; Magnoliopsida; Lamiales; Oleaceae.
UUUUGAAAUUCAAAUUUUAAAAUUGUUUGAUACCCAGCCCAAAAUGCUUACCCGAUUCACUCCAAAUCAAUACCCUUUUCAUUUCACAAACGGGGAGUCACUGCCCUAAUCUGAUUUCCUCAACUUUGCAGCACUGAUUGAUGCCGCUCUAGCUCCUCGAUAGAGACACUGUCGAAGACCAUGGAAUCCAUGUUGCCGAUAUGCUCGCUCUUCCAUUUCUAAGACAUUCGAUCGCUUGUUGUUGACUUGUAGCUGUUACCGCCCAUCUUCUCCGACCAAAUCUGGAGAAAACUCAAGUAUAUAUGUAUAUAUAUUAAGUGAGAAUCAAGUACAUGAAGUCACAAAGAUCUAUUGGGUUGGUUCACAAUUGUACACCUAUAAAUGGGAAAACUUCGCCUUGUUGGACAUUAUUUAUGAAAGUGGGUUCGAGCUUUCAUGUGCUUGAUACUUGUGUGUGAGUAUGCAACGACAAGCUUUACCUUAAAGUGUGUGUGUACAUAUUUGGUCGUUAUUUAUUUUAACAACACUCUUUCGUUGAAUUUUUUUAUUUUUGUGUGAAUUUGGUCUCAAGAUUUAAGCUGGUUUUAACACAAGUUUUCUUGUAGUGAAUGGUUCUUCCAAGUAUAAUUCUUGCAUAGUUACUAAGACUCAAAAGGUCGUAUGCCGUCAUGUUCACCAAUGUAGCAAAGCGUUGACACAUUUUGUCGUACCUCAAUUGUUCGGGAGUACUAACCAUACCAUCAUAAUGCACUACUACCCUCAUGUGGGCUCUACUAACAUCUCGC